This is a long non-coding RNA of Wyeomyia smithii (pitcher-plant mosquito), 1610 nucleotides long. RefSeq lists it as uncharacterized. The transcript has 2 exons. Lineage: Eukaryota; Metazoa; Arthropoda; Insecta; Diptera; Culicidae. The record is from RefSeq and is a predicted model, not a curated record.
ACUGCGCAAGCAAAGGGUGAUAAUCAGUUCUAAAGCCUGUAUUACACUCUUUGACCGAGCGUCAAAUAUUUGUCACUUUUUGACAGAUAAAAAUUUGGUAAAAUAUAAUUGUUUGUCACUCUCCAAUUUUAACAUGGGGCAAACACGGAAAAACAACAACCAUGAUGUCAAAUAAAUUUGACCAUUAUGUCAGAUGGUCAAAUAUUUGACCAUUAGACAAAGAGUGUACUACAGACUUAAAAUGAUAUACAAUCGUUAAAAGCUAAAGUCAAGCAAUGAUAACACAUUCAUGUGCGAGCAAUUUGGUUCAGUGUAGUCUGCUUUUUCUUUUGGCAGUUUUUGCCCAUAACAAGGUUAAAAAUAGAGGUAGGUCUACUAGAUCAUGAUUCUCAAAGCAGUUUUCAAGUCGAAUCUCGACAAAUCGACUCUAGUGCUUGGGAUCUUUUGUGCAACAUGAUUUGCCUCGAAUACAAUGGGCACACUAGCGACAUUACUUAUCUAGGGACUAAAUAAUCUUAUAUUUGCAUGUUAUCUGUUUUGAGUGUAGUAUUCGUUUCUCCCUCUCCACGGUUAAAUGAAGCUACCUAAUUAUGAGUACGAAAACUACCAAUUUUUGAGUUCGCCUAAGCGAACUGCGAUUUUGAGUAACUUUGAUUAAGUGAAAUUUGUAGAAAAAACUCAUAUGAUGGAUCAAUGCACCAUAUCUAUGUUUGAAUGAAAUGUUUUGAAUUUUCGCUGCUCGAGAGGUUAUUGUUUACCUAAUUUUGGAUGAAAAUUUUUAACCUGCCAGUGCUGUCAAGAAAGAAACAGUUGUGAAAUCAACAGUGUUCUUUUCUACGAGUGCUUAAAAUUCGGGUUUCUAGUGAAAGAAGGUUUGGAGUUGUAUUUUGUUUGCUUUGAAAUAUUCAAAAUGAAUAAAAUAUCCUCAUCGAUUAGCGAAAGACUUCCUUCCGAAAGCAAAACCACCCGCACAGAAAGUGGUAUCGCCUGCGGGGCCACUGAACCAGAGAAUGAACUACUGGUGUGCGCCAGAGUGGCACGGGCCAGAUUUUGGUUUUCAAAAGGAUUUUGAGUGAUUUCUACUUAGGUAUAGGUUUUUCAUGGUAAGCGUGGCAGGCAAACAGUGUAAUACAGGCUUAUCUCCUCGUUUUCAAGCAGUUUUUUUUUUGGUUUUUCGAGCAGUUGCAGUCAUUUUUCAAAAACAUCUGGCAUCUUUGACAUUAACCGGUUAAAAAAUUUAACUGUAGGUUACAUAUAAAUAAUUUUCUCAGUAUAUAAUAUGGGUUCACGAACGCUCAUUUUUAACGAAAACUUUUUAAAUGAUGGAGACCAGGAUGCUAAUUCGGUUUUGAUUGAACUUUUUUUUUUAUAACUAAUAUUUAUUUAGGCCCAACCGCGAAGCAUAACGGGGCCGAAUGUCUUUUGGAGUAGGGAAAAGCCAGCUUGAGUAGAGCCUGUAUCCCGACUGCUCCUCCUCAAACAGGCAUAAAAACCCUCUCAUCUUUUCUUUUUUAUAAAUACAAUUUAAAAAUACAUGUCAUUUAAACCUACGACUAAAAAUAACAUUAAAUUUCUUCUCUAUGUUAAAUAUCAAUUCUUAAUACUAUUCA